UACGGGGGGGGCAAGCGUUGUUCGGAAUUACUGGGCGUAAAGGGCGCGUAGGCGGCACGACAAGUCGGGAGUGAAAGCCCGGGCUCAACCCCGGAAUGUCUCUCGAAACUGUCGAGCUAGAGUGCGGAAGAGGCAACUGGAAUUCCCAGUGUAGCGGUGAAAUGCGUAGAUAUUGGGAAGAACACCUGAGGCGAAGGCGGGUUGCUGGGCCGACACUGACGCUGAGGCGCGAAAGCCAGGGAGCGAACGGG
Molecule: ribosomal RNA, 251 nt
Filed under: uncultured bacterium
Lineage: Bacteria
Description: partial 16S ribosomal RNA
Rfam family: Bacterial small subunit ribosomal RNA
Source: RNAcentral